UGAUAGAGAAAUGUUUGGUUUAUAAUAAAAUUAGUGUGAGGUGUGUAUGAGUUUUGUUCAGAUUUGCUUUCUGUUAGGGGCUCUGUCAUGAAGCAGCUCCAGGAAGAUGAAAAGCCAAGUGUGGCCUAGUUUAUUGAGUGAAACACACAGCUGUGAAACAAAGCCUGAGGAUGUGGAGGUGAAAGUGAGAAGCUGUGAAGCGAGCUUCCAGGUGCUCAAGUUCAGCCCUGACUCUGAGACGGAGGCUGUCUAUUGCAGCUUCCAAAGUCCUGGGGAAAGAGACCUGGAGAGCCAUUGCUGGCCGUGAUGGAUUUGUCAAGUCUUGGAUAUUGAUAUCUUGAGUUUCUCUGGUGAUUGGUGGGAAUAGAGAGAAGAAAACAGUUAUUUGGGAUGCAAACACAUAAAGGUAAUAUAGUAUAAAGAGAAAAACUGGACUGAGAACAUAAGACAGAUAAGUGACUCUUGGGAACAAGAAUAUAGGUGUGGGAGUCAAUAUAGAUGUUGAUACUCUGAGGACCUAAAUAGCUUGGAAGCUGUUUUCAUACUCCUGGAGCCUUGUGAGAAUGGGAGCCAUGGCAUUCCAUCAUCAGCUGAGGUCUAAGAGCAGAGCAGCUGAGAAAUUGUGGCAUUGAAGUAAUGAGGGAGCUGGGGAAGAAGAACCCCUUCUCCUGGCUUCUGAUCUCCUAGUCAUGCCUCCCAUUUGAAGCCAGAGGGCAAAUGGGCUGAGGUAACAGAGCCUGUAGAGUUCAUCCCUUUGGGCCACAGAAAACUGAAGAGAAAAGUGGAGGAUGAACGUUGUGGAAGAGGUUCAUACAGAUCACCAGAGAAGAAUUUUUAGUGCUUGCUACUUACAAGUGCUUCAAGUUUUAAGUGAGAUUUUCUAUGUUGAAGUUUUUUGUAAACAAUGACAACUCUAGGACAGUCAGAUGAGAUUCUAAUACAUUUAACUAGGGUAUAAACCUCUCCACUAUAUCAAAGAACAGCUGGAGGGACUGUUCUUUCACUUCUCCAAAGACUGUGUUAUAACCUUUCCCAUUCUUUUCUUCUUCAAGAGUGCACUUGAGAUUUAUUCUGAACACAUUUUAACUGUAAAAAAAUAUUGAGCAUGGGAAGGGAACAGCUUACGCUAUGAUUUGUCCUAGCAAUCACACCUCCAUCCUAGCCUAGGCAUGACCCUAAUUAUAAAUAGGUAUUAUCACAAAAUAUCUAUCACCAGCUAUAUUACAUUUUCUUUCUCUGGUGCCUCCUGAAAAUACAUUUCACAAUGAAAUAAGUUCAUGAUAUGUUAUUUAUCAUCAUUUUAUUUCUGCUCUGAAUUUUGCUCAGCUUAAUAAAGGUUUGUGUUUUAUGAAAGCA
This 1356-nucleotide long non-coding RNA is filed under the name Felis catus (domestic cat). RNAcentral's name for it is "lncRNA (ENSFCAG00000051326.1)". Lineage: Eukaryota; Metazoa; Chordata; Mammalia; Carnivora; Felidae. The record is from RNAcentral.